AGAGUUUGAUCAUGGCUCAGAACGAACGCUGGCGGCGUGCUUAACACAUGCAAGUCGAACGCGAAAGCUUUCUUCGGAAAGCGAGUAGAGUGGCGCACGGGUGAGUAACGCGUAAGUAAUCUACCCUGGCAUCUGGGAUAACCCACCGAAAGGUGUGCUAAUACCGGAUACGUUGGAAACAAGAAAGGUGGCCUCUAUUUAUAAGCUACUGUGCUGGGAGGAGCUUGCGUACCAUUAGCUAGUUGGUAGGGUAAUGGCCUACCAAGGCAACGAUGGUUAGCGGGUCUGAGAGGAUGAUCCGCCACACUGGAACUGGAACACGGACCAGACUCCUACGGGAGGCAGCAGUGAGGAAUAUUGCGCAAUGGGGGCAACCCUGACGCAGCGACGCCGCGUGGAUGAUGAAGGCCUUCGGGUCGUAAAAUCCUGUCAGAUGGAAAGAAAUGCACAUAUGCUAAUAUCAUUUGUGUUUGACGGUACCAUCAAAGGAAGCACCGGCUAACUCCGUGCCAGCAGCCGCGGUAAUACGGAGGGUGCAAGCGUUGUUCGGAAUUACUGGGCGUAAAGCGCGCGUAGGCGGCCAAUUAAGUCAGAUGUGAAAGUCCACGGCUCAACCGUGGAAGUGCAUUUGAAACUGGCUGGCUUGAGUACUGGAGGGGGUGGUGGAAUUCCCGGUGUAGAGGUGAAAUUCGUAGAUAUCGGGAGGAAUACCGGUGGCGAAGGCGACCACCUGGCCCAGAUACUGACGCUGAGGUGCGAAAGCGUGGGGAGCAAACAGGAUUAGAUACCCUGGUAGUCCACGCCGUAAACGAUGUCAACUAGUGUUGGGGAGGUUAAUCUUCUCAUUGCCGUAGCUAACGCAUUAAGUUGACCGCCUGGGGAGUACGGUCGCAGAUUAAAACUCAAAUGAAUUGACGG
Molecule: ribosomal RNA, 918 nt
Filed under: uncultured bacterium
Lineage: Bacteria
Description: bacterial SSU rRNA
Rfam family: Bacterial small subunit ribosomal RNA
Source: RNAcentral